CCAAUAGCGUAUAUUAAAGUUGUUGCAGUUAAAAAGCUCGUAGUUGAAUUUCAGGCCUGGCUGGACGGUCCGCCUUUUGGGUGAGUACUGUCUGUGGUCGGGUCCUACCUUCUGGCGAAGCGUCAUGGCCUUAACCGGCCGUGGCGGGGAACCAGGACUUUUACUGUGAAAAAAUUAGAGUGUUCAAAGCAGGCAGUCGCUUGAAUACAUUAGCAUGGAAUAAUGGAAUAGGACAAUGGUUCUAUUUGUUGGUUUCUAGGACCGUUGUAAUGAUUAAUAGGGAUAGUUGGGGGCAUUAGUAUUCAAUUGUCAGAGGUGAAAUUCUUGGAUUUAUUGAAGACUAACUACUGCGAAAGCAUUUGCCAAGGAUGUUUUCAUUAAUCAAGAACGAAAGUUAGGGGAUCGAAGACGAUCAGAUACCGUCGUAGUCUUAACCAUAAACUAUGCCGACUAGGAAUCGGGCGAUGUUGACAAAAUGACGCGCUCGGCACCUCAUG
Molecule: ribosomal RNA, 497 nt
Filed under: uncultured Glomeromycotina
Lineage: Eukaryota; Fungi; Glomeromycota
Description: partial small subunit ribosomal RNA
Rfam family: Eukaryotic small subunit ribosomal RNA
Source: RNAcentral